Molecule: ribosomal RNA, 301 nt
Filed under: uncultured bacterium
Lineage: Bacteria
Description: partial 16S ribosomal RNA
Rfam family: Bacterial small subunit ribosomal RNA
Source: RNAcentral
CAUAGCCACGGUAAUACGGAGGAUCCAAGCGUUAUCCGGAAUCAUUGGGUUUAAAGGGUCCGUAGGCGGUCUUGUAAGUCAGUGGUGAAAGCCCAUCGCUCAACGGUGGAACGGCCAUUGAUACUGCAGGACUUGAAUUAUUGGGAAGUAACUAGAAUAUGUAGUGUAGCGGUGAAAUGCUUAGAGAUUACAUGGAAUACCAAUUGCGAAGGCAGGUUACUACCAAUUGAUUGACGCUGAUGGACGAAAGCGUGGGUAGCGAACAGGAUUAGAUACCCCUGUAGUCCCUGUCUCUUAUACA